RNAcentral lists this microRNA precursor (82 nucleotides) under Echinops telfairi (small Madagascar hedgehog). RNAcentral's name for it is "miRNA (ENSETEG00000025954.1)". The record is from RNAcentral. Lineage: Eukaryota; Metazoa; Chordata; Mammalia; Afrosoricida; Tenrecidae.
CCACCUUCAGGUCCCUGUUCAGGUGCCAGCUGCAGUGACUUGCACCUGCAGAGGGUUUACACGGGGAGAGGUAGAGUGGGAU